Molecule: ribosomal RNA, 253 nt
Filed under: uncultured bacterium
Lineage: Bacteria
Description: partial 16S ribosomal RNA
Rfam family: Bacterial small subunit ribosomal RNA
Source: RNAcentral
UACGUAGGUGGCAAGCGUUGUCCGGAUUUACUGGGUGUAAAGGGCGUGUAGCCGGGCUGACAGGUCAGAUGUGAAAUCCGGGGGCUCAACCCCCGAACUGCAUUUGAAACUGUUGGUCUUGAGUAUCGGAGAGGCAGGCGGAAUUCCUAGUGUAGCGGUGAAAUGCGUAGAUAUUAGGAGGAACACCAGUGGCGAAGGCGGCCUGCUGGACGACAACUGACGGUGAGGCGCGAAAGCGUGGGGAGCAAACAGG